AUACCUUUCUCUGUCUUUUGACUAAGAUCAAGUGUAGUAUUUGUUCUUAUCAGUUUAAUAUCUGAUAUAUAGACCAUUGGUCUAUUCGAUAUUAAUCUUAUUUUUUAUAGAGAAAAAUCCAUCAUAAUAGCUUGCUAUUGAAGUCUUUGUGUGUCGCUUAGGUUUUGCACUACUACUUUGGCUGGCGCACCCCUC
Small nuclear RNA from Cynara cardunculus var. scolymus (artichoke), 195 nucleotides. RefSeq annotates it as U2 spliceosomal RNA. Lineage: Eukaryota; Viridiplantae; Streptophyta; Magnoliopsida; Asterales; Asteraceae. The transcript has a single exon. The record is from RefSeq and is a predicted model, not a curated record.